CACAGUUUGACAUCAAGAGGAAUGCAAACAGAUGCUUUAUUUUUAGCAUAGUUAUUCUCUCAGGUUGGUGCUAUCUUUCAUCUUGGCUCAAUGAGGUGGGCUUAAAUCUACCUUUCUUCAUGCAGACGCCUGUGUCAGUGCUUGCAGAAUCUCUGCCCUUGUUUGGAAGAAGAGUGCUUUCUGUGAGACUAGGACGUAGUGAAUUGAAGCUUAAGGCUUGUGAUGUACCUACAUCAUGGUAUUCUGCAUUUCUGCCUCUGUGGAGCCAAAAGAGCGUCAGAUUGCCACAUUGCAGUUCAGGGGCUGCUUUUUCGUGGCGUUCCCUCUGCAAGGUACUGCACAGAGUGAAUGUAUGUGGCAGAGGACCAGACUUGAUAUCCCAUGGACAUUUAUGCAUGAAGAUGAACUAUCUCCCAAGUGGCUUCUUUAGGAGGAAAGAAAUCAUGCUUCACAUUCCUGAGCAUGAGCAUGCUGCAGCAUUCCAGAACAGCCAGAUCUACAUUGAUGGUUAUUCACUCACAUCCAGAUUUGGAUAGAUGAAUUCCCCCUGCAAAAUAUCAGAGAAAUGAAGUGAGUAUGUUUGCUCAAGGGGAGAAGCAGAACACUUCAUAGCAGAGUAUCUUAUCCCUUAAGAAAGUUGUCAGUGUUUGAAUACAGCCUUUAGUCACUACUGUGUGGUAUUUAUUUGGGGGUACAAAAUUGUUAAAAAAAAUUUUUUAAAUAUGUUUUUGUUAUUCUCAUAGAAACUGGCAUCCUGGAUGAAGAGAUUUCUUCUAGUACUUCGUCAUGGUGGAGCCACUCUAAAUGGAGUUACAAAUAAAUUUUUGCUGUGGAGCUUAUAUCA
This 844-nucleotide long non-coding RNA is filed under the name Struthio camelus australis. RNAcentral's name for it is "lncRNA (ENSSCUG00000013450.1)". Lineage: Eukaryota; Metazoa; Chordata; Aves; Struthioniformes; Struthionidae. The record is from RNAcentral.